GAUGAACGCUGGCGGCGUGCUUAACACAUGCAAGUCGAACGAAGCACCUUGAUUUGAUUCUUCGGAUGAAGAUCUUGGUGACUGAGUGGCGGACGGGUGAGUAACGCGUGGGUAACCUGCCUCAUACAGGGGGAUAACAGUUAGAAAUGACUGCUAAUACCGCAUAAGACCACAGCACCGCAUGGUGCAGGGGUAAAAACUCCGGUGGUAUGAGAUGGACCCGCGUCUGAUUAGGUAGUUGGUGGGGUAACGGCCUACCAAGCCGACGAUCAGUAGCCGACCUGGGAGGGUGACCGGCCACAUUGGGACUGAGACACGGCCCAAACUCCUACGGGAGGCAGCAGUGGGGAAUAUUGCACAAUGGGGGAAACCCUGAUGCAGCGACGCCGCGUGAGCGAUGAAGUAUUUCGGUAUGUAAAGCUCUAUCAGCAGGGAAGAAAAUGACGGUACCUGACUAAGAAGCACCGGCUAAAUACGUG
This 479-nucleotide ribosomal RNA is filed under the name uncultured bacterium. Its description in RNAcentral is "partial 16S ribosomal RNA". It matches the Rfam family "Bacterial small subunit ribosomal RNA", at positions 28 to 507 of the family's 1533-position model. The record is from RNAcentral.